AGGUUAGAACUAACCAAUUAGGUAACUAGCCCUUUACCCUUAUAAGCCAGUUGAAUUUCUUGUAAUUUUUCGAUGCGGAACUCUUGAUAGCAUGUAGUGUUGUUACAACUUUUUGUGGCUAAAGGUAGACAUUUCCAACCAAGUUGUCUUAAUAAUCUGUAUUAUUUGGUGAUGAUUUUACAUCUAACAGAGUCAACCACCUACUCUGCUCAAAUACUUUACCACAUAAAAAUAUGGCAAAUUGCAUGUUUGAUUAUAGGUAGGAAGUUUUAUAGAACUUCUCAAUAGCAAACUCCCUUUCUUCUGCCUUCUCAUUUUGUGAAUCAUUGGAUAAUGCAUAAAGACUACAAAUUUAUUUUCAUAAUGGCACCUUUUGUUUUCCUUGAUUAUGCCUCUCCAAGAGUGUUUGUGUGUUUCACUGCAAAGAACCUUUUAAUUAUGCAGUGGUGUUCACUUGAAUGGCAACUACUUCUCUUUGCAUGCUUAAUGGAAAUUUGGAUAGUUUGUUCUUUCUUAAUAGUUGAUAUAUGCAUGGAUCUUAUCAUAGUUGUAUAAAG
This 557-nucleotide unclassified non-coding RNA is filed under the name Hevea brasiliensis (rubber tree). Lineage: Eukaryota; Viridiplantae; Streptophyta; Magnoliopsida; Malpighiales; Euphorbiaceae. The record is from RNAcentral.